AGUGAAAGCUUAAUUUGUGUGUGACCAGUGCACUAAACCCAGGGCAGGUUGUGCACAAGUAAAAGCAAGAAGCAGUGCAGCAUGGAUAUUGGACAUAAAAAUAUAGAAGCUGUGGCUGCUGUGUGCAUGCAUAACUUAUUUAGUGUUAGAAUAGUGUUAUACCUUAUCCACAGCAAUGGUGAAUUGCACAGGUGUGUUUGGG
Non-coding RNA from Pelobates cultripes (western spadefoot toad), 202 nucleotides. The record is from the annotation of a GenBank genome assembly. NCBI's taxonomy places the organism in Eukaryota, Metazoa, Chordata, Amphibia, Anura, Pelobatidae.